AGAGUUUGAUCAUGGCUCAGGAUGAACGCUAGCGGCAGGCUUAACACAUGCAAGUCGAGGGGUAACAGGUCUUCGGACGCUGACGACCGGCAAACGGGUGCGGAACACGUACGCAACAUACCCUUUACAGGGGGAUAGCCCGGAGAAAUCCGGAUUAACACCCCAUAGUAUAAUCGGAAGGCAUCUUCUGGUUAUUAAAAAUUUAUUGGUAAAGGAUUGGCGUGCGUCCCAUUAGAUAGUUGGCGGGGUAACGGCCCACCAAGUCGGCGAUGGGUAGCUGGUGUGAGAGCACGACCAGCCACACGGGCACUGAGACACGGGCCCGACUCCUACGGGAGGCAGCAGUGAGGAAUAUUGGUCAAUGGGCGCAAGCCUGAACCAGCCAUGCCGCGUGGAGGAUGACAGCCUUCUGGGUUGUAAACUUCUUUUAUAUGGGAAGAAAAGUACGGUUUCUACUGUAUCCGACGGUACCAUAUGAAUAAGCACCGGCUAACUCCGUGCCAGCAGCCGCGGUAAUACGGAGGGUGCAAGCGUUAUCCGGAUUUACUGGGUUUAAAGGGUGUGUAGGCGGACAUUUAAGUCAGAGGUGAAAUCUCCGGGCUCAACCCGGAAACUGCCUUUGAUACUAUUUGUCUUGAAUUUCGUUGAGGUUGGCGGAAUAUAUCAUGUAGCGGUGAAAUGCAUAGAUAUGAUAUAGAACACCGAUUGCGAAGGCAGCUGGCUGAACGAACAUUGACGCUGAGGCACGAAAGCGUGGGUAGCGAACAGGAUUAGAUACCCUAGUAGUCC
This 789-nucleotide ribosomal RNA is filed under the name uncultured bacterium. Its description in RNAcentral is "bacterial SSU rRNA". It matches the Rfam family "Bacterial small subunit ribosomal RNA", at positions 8 to 796 of the family's 1533-position model. The record is from RNAcentral.